AGUGAACGCUGGCGGUAGGCCUAACACAUGCAAGUCGAACGGCAGCACAGUAAGAGCUUGCUCUUACGGGUGGCGAGUGGCGGACGGGUGAGGAAUACAUCGGAAUCUACUUUUUCGUGGGGGAUAACGUAGGGAAACUUACGCUAAUACCGCAUACGACCUACGGGUGAAAGCAGGGGAUCUUCGGACCUUGCGCGAUUGGAUGAGCCGAUGUCGGAUUAGCUAGUUGGCGGGGUACAGGCCCACCAAGGCGACGAUCCGUAGCUGGUCUGAGAGGAUGAUCAGCCACACUGGAACUGAGACACGGUCCAGACUCCUACGGGAGGCAGCAGUGGGGAAUAUUGGACAAUGGGCGCAAGCCUGAUCCAGCCAUACCGCGUGGGUGAAGAAGGCCUUCGGGUUGUAAAGCCCUUUUGUUGGGAAAGAAAAGCAGCAGGUUAAUACCCCGCUGUUCUGACGGUACCCAAAGAAUAAGCACCGGCUAACUUCGUG
This 492-nucleotide ribosomal RNA is filed under the name uncultured bacterium. RNAcentral describes it as "partial 16S ribosomal RNA". It matches the Rfam family "Bacterial small subunit ribosomal RNA", at positions 29 to 507 of the family's 1533-position model. The record is from RNAcentral.